CGGCCAGUCCAGACUCCUACGGGAGGCAGCAGUGGGGAAUUUUCCGCAAUGGGCGAAAGCCUGACGGAGCAACGCCGCGUGAGGGAGGAAGGUCUUUGGAUUGUAAACCUCUUUUCUCAAGGAAGAAGUUCUGACGGUACUUGAGGAAUCAGCCUCGGCUAACUCCGUGCCAGCAGCCGCGGUAAUACGGGGGAGGCAAGCGUUAUCCGGAAUUAUUGGGCGUAAAGCGUCCGCAGGUGGUCAGCCAAGUCUGCCGUCAAAUCAGGUUGCUUAACGACCUAAAGGCGGUGGAAA
This 294-nucleotide ribosomal RNA is filed under the name Microcystis sp. Gd1010-CI. RNAcentral's name for it is "partial 16S ribosomal RNA". It matches the Rfam family "Bacterial small subunit ribosomal RNA", at positions 323 to 632 of the family's 1533-position model. The record is from RNAcentral. Lineage: Bacteria; Bacillati; Cyanobacteriota; Cyanophyceae; Chroococcales; Microcystaceae.